RNAcentral lists this ribosomal RNA (460 nucleotides) under uncultured bacterium. Its description in RNAcentral is "bacterial SSU rRNA". It matches the Rfam family "Bacterial small subunit ribosomal RNA", at positions 330 to 801 of the family's 1533-position model. The record is from RNAcentral.
ACCGUACUCCUACGGGAGGCAGCAGUGGGGAAUAUUGCACAAUGGGCGCAAGCCUGAUGCAGCGACGCCGCGUGAGGGAUGACGGCCUUCGGGUUGUAAACCUCUGUUAGCAGGGAAGAAGAGAGAUUGACGGUACCUGCAGAGAAAGCGCCGGCUAACUACGUGCCAGCAGCCGCGGUAAUACGUAGGGCGCGAGCGUUGUCCGGAAUUAUUGGGCGUAAAGAGCUUGUUGGCGGUUUGUCGCGUCUGCUGUGAAAGGCCGGAGCUUAACUCCGUGUAUUGCAGUGGGUACGGGCAGACUAGAGUGCAGUAGGGGAGACUGGAAUUCCUGGUGUAGCGGUGGAAUGCGCAGAUAUCAGGAGGAACACCGGUGGCGAAGGCAGGUCUCUGGGCUGUAACUGACGCUGGGAAGCGAAAGCAUGGGGAGCGAACAGGAUUAGAAACCCGUGUAGUCCUUGAC